This 516-nucleotide ribosomal RNA is filed under the name uncultured bacterium. Its description in RNAcentral is "bacterial SSU rRNA". It matches the Rfam family "Bacterial small subunit ribosomal RNA", at positions 10 to 518 of the family's 1533-position model. The record is from RNAcentral.
AGUUUGAUUAUGGCUCAGGAUGAACGCUAGCUACAGGCUUAACACAUGCAAGUCGAGGGGCAGCAUGUGGUGCUGCAACCAAUGAUGGCGACCGGCGCACGGGUGAGUAACGCGUAUCCAACCUUCCCUAUAGUAGAGGAUAGCCCGGCGAAAGUCGGAUUAAUACUCUAUGUUUUCCAAUGCAGACAUCUAAAAUGGAACAAAGGUUCACCGCUAUAGGAUGGGGAUGCGUCUGAUUAGAUAGUCGGCGGGGUAACGGCCCACCGAGUCGACGAUCAGUAGGGGUUCUGAGAGGAAGGUCCCCCACAUUGGAACUGAGACACGGUCCAAACUCCUACGGGAGGCAGCAGUGAGGAAUAUUGGUCAAUGGGCGAGAGCCUGAACCAGCCAAGUAGCGUGCAGGAUGACGGCCCUAUGGGUUGUAAACUGCUUUUAUACAGGGAUAAAGUGCACUACGUGUAGUGUUUUGUAGGUACUGUAUGAAUAAGGACCGGCUAAUUCCGUGCCAGCCGCCGC